AGCAAGGUUAGAAAGUAUCAUCCUACAGAAGAAAACUGAAGCCCAAGAAGAUGAGUGACCUCCUUAGGCUUCAAGGUGUGAAUUGACUAAAAUCAUUGACGAUCCAGGUGGUGGCCUGAUAUGAAGUCAUGAGAAAGCACUUCUUCAUCAUGGAACUGAACGAGAUUCCCAGCCAUCAGUGUCCACUCCCAUCGGUGCCACAGAGGCAGGUUGAAGCUUGAGCCACGGUCUCUGAGGACACAGAGGACAUCAUGCUUCGUCCACAGCCCCCCACGGAGAGGUGCAGUGUAAUCCUCCUAGUCCUUGGAGCUGAGAGCUGUUGAAGCCAUUGGUUACCCCAACCUCCUAAACCAGUGAUUCCCAGAGUUCAGCACCGAGUGACUUCCUACUACCGAGGACUCUCCCGGCAGUGGCUAACCUCGAAGAGAUCCUGCGACUUUUGAGAUACAAUCCACUCUGCGCUCCCACCGUCUCCACCCGGGGUUGCUCAGUUACCAGGAGAGAAGAUGACGCCCAGGCUUCCCCACCCAGCAGAGCAGAAAGUCACUGGUCAGGGACCAGGAAAAAAAAAGUCUAAUCUAAACAGAAAUAGCUGAAAUAAUUGCUGAGCAAAUCUAGAAAAUAGCUAGCUAAGUAAAUUGCUUUUCUUGCACAAAGUUUCUCUGAGUUUGCCCCUGAGCGGGUGGGGAAGAGCAACUCCCUGGCUGCUUAGCUGCACCCUGUUGCUUGCUUCCAGCUUCUCCUCCCUGCAGUCACCAGGCAUUUCUUACUGUACUAGCAGAGCAGCCACGCUCUGUCUUGAACGGUUGAACUUCCUGUGGAAACAUGGCAAGUUGGAAGGGAUUUCUGCUGGCACCCAAGGGUCCUCUGUGGCUCUGUUGUUUUGCUUUCUCUCUUGUUAUUUUGCUAUCAAAUUCAGAUUAACACAAGACCUGCAAAAUU
This is a long non-coding RNA of Mus musculus (house mouse), 942 nucleotides long. RefSeq annotates it as predicted gene, 31278. The transcript has 5 exons. The record is from RefSeq and is a predicted model, not a curated record. Lineage: Eukaryota; Metazoa; Chordata; Mammalia; Rodentia; Muridae.